AAUAACACCAAAUUAAUAAUUUCGUUAAAUGCUGCAAAAUGUCCACCUUGUAUAUCUUGUGUGACGGAUAGUAUGACAACCUACAUCAUAUGACUAUUACUGAUCAUGUGACUACUAAUUAUAUUACAAGAAGAAAAAGAAAAAGUGAAAAACACUACAGCAUAUGCAAUUAAAAAUAUACAGAUAUAUUAUUAAUAAGAUUUUUUUAAGUGUGAGUUAAAUACUUCAAACAAAUGUCGUGUGUUUCUAUAACAUCAUAUUCUAUUUAGAUAUUAUAAAACGUUAUUAUAUCAGUUUUUACUUUUUCUUAUGAUAUUGUUUUUCCAUAAAUCGAUUUUCAAACUCUAACAUCAAAAACUGCAAAAUAAUUAAAACAGACUUUUAUAGAAAAUUAUGUCAUUUUCACAUGACAUAAAUAUUUAAUUAUUAGAAAAUAUUUAUAAGAGCGGUAUUAUUUAUUUUGAAUAUAAUAGAAUAAAUGAUAAUAAUUAUGUGAUUACUAUAUUAAGACUUUGUUAGAAAGUCAAAUUUGCCGAAAGCAAAAACCCAUCUGUUCAUCGUGAAUGACGUAAUCGACGCGAGUCGAAUCACCUUUUCUGCGCAAGAAUAGGAAGAACAAAUAACGUUUUGUUAGCGACCGAUAAAUAGUGCUAGAUGGUCAGUAUGUGCUAUAUAUAUAAGAUCGCAGAUGACCACUCGCGGCAGUUUAUCUUCCAAUGGUAGACAUUCCAUCACAUCCAUCUUUGUCAAUCGAAACGCGCGUCACCCAAUUGAUCGAAUUGUCUAAGAAGAUUUAUUAUCAAUAAGUGCAAAUUAAAAGACUAAUUAAAAAACACUGACUUUAUAGUUGAAGUAAAGAAUCACGAUUUAUAAAGAUUAAAAGUGAAGAAUAAUUACAUGGAAAGUUUAUAUUUCAGUGAAGAGAAAAAAUUCAAUAGAAGAAUGUUAAAGAUCUCAUUGUCAAUUCUAAGCGUCUGUAUCCAAAUUAAAACUGAUUGAAGAAGAGAAAUCUGUGAAAUUUUUAAAAACAUUUUUACAACUUUAGAAUACCAUAAAUAUACAU
This is a long non-coding RNA of Wasmannia auropunctata (little fire ant), 1063 nucleotides long. RefSeq lists it as uncharacterized. The record is from RefSeq and is a predicted model, not a curated record. NCBI's taxonomy places the organism in Eukaryota, Metazoa, Arthropoda, Insecta, Hymenoptera, Formicidae. The transcript is spliced from 2 exons.